Non-coding RNA from Rattus norvegicus (Norway rat), 4721 nucleotides. NCBI's taxonomy places the organism in Eukaryota, Metazoa, Chordata, Mammalia, Rodentia, Muridae. The record is from RefSeq and is a predicted model, not a curated record.
UUUGAAAGUGAAAAGAAAAUUAUACGAAUUCUAGGUUUAAAAAUAUAAAAUGAAAAGAGUUAGCCCCAAAAGCCACAAACUCAGGGCUAAGCCCUGCCGCCAGGAAUAGCAGGCCAUAAAGAUAAAGAAAAGGAAUGCAAGAACCAGCUCAGGCUAUCGAGGACUGAGCCAUAAACCAUCCAAAGACAUCCCCCCAGCUUACUCAGAGUCAUACUUUAACCAGAUGUCCUCCAGACCCUGAUAAGCCCCUACUUGUGCUCUUCAGCCAUUGUGUCCUACAGAGAGCAUUCCAAGAAACCGGACAGCCCAAGCCUAACCAGAGGUGUUUCAAAUACAAAUGCUCCAUCAGUUUUGACAAACGUUUAAAAAUAAUGAGGACCUGAAGACCCUACCCUUCUCCUGAUUUAGUAGCUCUGUUCCAGGAACCAGGGGGCCAUAAAACCUUCUGGCGUCCCCUUAUCUCCUGGAGCCAUAAAACAAUCCUGUAACUUGUGGUGCAUUCCCCUUUGACAUCCCCCAUCCCCUGGUGCUCACAGCCUCUGCCUUUAAAUACUCUUUUUCCCAGCCUCUCGGGGUCGACACCUCUGUCUCCUGCGUGGGAUAUGUGUCGGCCCGGAGAUCUCUGUAAUAGGUCUCCGUAAUAAACCUCGCCUUUGCUUAUUACAUCCAAAAUGGUCUCUCUGUGUCUGGGGUCCGCGAUUUCCCAAGACUUGAGUAAGGGUCUCUCUGCGUGGGAUCUUUCAUAUUUAUGGGGGCUCGUCCGGGAUCUGCGCGACUACCCCAGACUCCGAAGACCCCUUGGAGUAACUGUUACAGGUCUUCUUUACCACCGAGGAAAGACGGAAUCCUACUAGAGGCCAGAAAAAGUGUUCCAGAGAUGGAUGGAAGGCCCUCACUUCUGCCUGCUCUCUUCAGACGCCUAAAGGUAGGGAGUGCUCCAGGUCUGCUGCCAGGCUCCAAGGGUGGGUCUCUGAGGGGCUAAAAAAAUGCCCCACCAAUCUGGCUAAGAUAAAAAAAGGAUAAAGAAAAUGUUACAGAAAUUUAAAGGGUUAAGUUAAGUUGCUGAGAGUUAAUAUAAGUUACAGAGAAAAUAAGGUUAAAAAAGAAAGAGGUAAAAAGAACAGAAAGCUAGAGAAGAAAAGAGACAAAAAGAAGAGGAAGUUAGAGAGCUAAAGAGAGAUAAAAGACGAGAGAGGAACAUAUACUGGCCACAGUAGUUAGGGAACCUAGGAAGAUAGUACCUGGCAACAGAAGAGAAUUCCUGGCUAAAGAUCAGUGUGCCUAAUACAAAGAAAAAGGACACUGGGUCAGGGACUGCCCAAGAAAGAACAAGAGGGGCCACUGGAGAGCUUCUUGGUCCUAGAGUGCUGGACAGGGACCCAAUGCUCUGUGCUCCUAUGCUCCAGUGGGCCAGUAUCCAAAGACCUUUGGUACAGGGGCCUACUGACAACAAACAAUACUUAUGGACUGCCCGAAGAACAGUGGACCUUGGCGUGGGCCGGGUAACCCACCCACUAAUUCAUGGUCAUCCCUGACUGCCCCUAUCCCUUGCUCAUGAGAAAAUUGCUCUCCAAAUUGGCUUGCGUGGGCUGAAAUGGCUGGAUGAGGCCAUGUGUAUACAUAUCUAUAGACUGUGUAUGUGGAGCUUAAGACCUGUCUCAGUACACCAGUAACUGAUGCUGGGAGUUGAAUGGCUUAGUGCUUUUCUGCCUGAAACACACCGUUCCUGCCAGCCGGGCACUAACAAUUAUCACCCAAUCCAGGACUUAAACUGUGAUAGAGUGGCUGAUAGAGUGUCCAAAGAUGGGACCACUGGUCAGCUGCCAUGGACUAGAUUCUCCACCGGUUGGGGACAAUCUGGUCACCUUGCUGCCCAAUCCGGACCUGGAGCCACCACAGCACGAGUGUCAAACACUGACAGAAGCACAUGGGUGGAGGAAAGACCUCUGCGACUGGCUGAUUGAUCCCUGCUGAAAGCCGAGGACCUUGUCCACAGACAGGAACAGUUCUCUUCAUGAAUGAAGGUCAGAGACAAGUGGGUGCUGCCAUGGUGGACAACACAAUGUCAUCUAGAAUGGCUGAACCUCUACCCCCCCAGCACAUCAGCGCCACAGAUGCCUUUGCCAUCUCUUGGAUGCCCUGAUGAAGCCAACAACUGUGAGUACUAUUCAUUGCCCAGGAAAACAGGAGGGAAGAGAUUCAGUGACAUGGGGCAGUGACAAAACAGAUAAAGUGGCUCGGGAAAUGGCUAUACAGGAGCCUAUCCUGGUUACAGGCCUGCAAGAGACAGCCACUGAGAACUAGGAUUAGACUAAGGGAUGGCCUCACUUAGAAAAGGCCCAAAUUGCUUAAAAGAUAAAGGACAAUGGCACACUUGAGGGGAAGCUAUACUCCCCAAAGAACAAACAAAAGACUCACUUUGCCAAAUUAAAAAAUAGACUCAUUUAAGAGAUAAGAAGUUUGUCCAAAUAGUUAAAAUAUAUAUAAUAGACUUUAAGAUUUUAGCCAAGAGAGACAAUAAAAAAGUAUAAAAUACGUCAAUAAAUAAAUGCUUAACAAACAGGACAAAGAGACCUAGAGAGUUUAACGAAAAGUCGAAGUGAACUUCACUGAGAUAAAACCAGAAAAAUAUAAUCUCCUAGUGCUUGUAGAUACUUUUUCAGAAAUAGACAGAAGCUUUCCUCACCAAACGAGAGACGGCCUCUGCAAUCAUCAAGAAGAUACUGAAAGAAAUCUUCCCCAGGUCUGGAAUGCCCAAGGUAAUCUGGUCAGACAACGGUCCUACUUUCGUUGCCAAGGUAAGCCAGGGUGUGGCCAAAUAUUUAGAGGUCGAUUGGAAAUUACAUUAUAUUUACAGACCUCAAAGUUCAAGACAGGUAGAGUAAAUAAACAGAACUCUAAAAGAGACCCUAAACAAAUUGACCAUGGAGACUGGCACAGACUGGGUGACACUCCUUCCCUCUUGCUCUCUUCAGAGCAAGAAAUACCCCUUCCAGACUCAGCUUUACCCCCUUUGAGAUCUUAUAUGGGGCCUAAGCUCCCCUGACUGUAUUAGAUGAUGUUACUGAACCAACAUGUCAUAGUGCCAUAGUAAUAAUGAUUUGUGUGCCAGGCUAAAAGACCUACAGGUGAUACAGAAAGAAAUCUGCUCACAGCUGACAGCAGCCUAUGCCCCGGAGACCCCUGAGACAUCCCAUCAGUUCCAGGUCGGAAGCAGCUACACUGAGCCCAGACACUCGAGCCUCGCUGGAAAGGACCGUACCUGGUGCUGCUGACCACCCUGACAGCCGUCAAUUCUCAGCCCUCACCAGCCGUGUACUAGCUGUUAGGGCUGAGAGCUGGGACCUAGAGGGAAAUUCAGUCAUGUUUGUCCUGGGUUCUAUCAAGAUAGGUGUGGGAUAGGCUUGAUUUCUAUUACAAAUGAUGUAACAUUACAUAUGUUAGUACUCCUAACACUUCUUGGGAUUGUGCCUCAGGGAUCACAACCUAUAUAAGUUUAGAAGUUCUAAAAGACAGUCAUGACCUUGGUGUAUAGGUUCAGAUAGUGUCCAGAUUAGAAUCCUGAUGCUAAAGACUUUUUAGCUGACCUCCAAAAAUACCUAACCUCCCUCUCAGAGAUAGUCCUUCAAAAUAAAAAAAGAUUAGACCUGAUAUUCCUUAAAGAAGGAGCCUGUGUGCUACACUGAAAGAAUGUUGCUUCUAUACAGACCAUUCAGGAAUAAUUAAAGACUCCAUAAAUAAACUUAGAAAAAGGUUAGACAAAAGACAGACAGAAAAACACAUCAGAGAUAGUUCGAGAGCUAGUUUAGUAGAUCUCCCUGGAUGACUACCCUACUCUCUGCUACAGCUGGGCCAUUAUUAAUAAUUUUCUUGGUUUUAGUUUUUGGCUCCUGCGUGACAAACAGGUUAAUUGCUUUUGUUAAAAAUCGAGUGGGUGCUGUGCGGUUAAUGGUUGUGAGACAACAGUACCAGUCAGUUAGGACAACUGGUGAGACCAAAUACGAGACUUGAUAUCAAAAUUCUAAGAUUAGAAUUAUUUAGUAGGAGAAGACGGGAAUGAAAAGAAAAUUAUACGAAUUCUAGGUUUAAAAAUAUAAAAUGAAAAGAGUUAGCCCCAAAAGCCACAAACUCAGGGCUAAGCCCUGCCGCCAGGAAUAGCAGGCCAUAAAGAUAAAGAAAAGGAAUGCAAGAACCAGCUCAGGCUAUCGAGGACUGAGCCAUAAACCAUCCAAAGACAUCCCCCCAGCUUACUCAGAGUCAUACUUUAACCAGAUGUCCUCCAGACCCUGAUAAGCCCCUACUUGUGCUCUUCAGCCAUUGUGUCCUACAGAGAGCAUUCCAAGAAACCGGACAGCCCAAGCCUAACCAGAGGUGUUUCAAAUACAAAUGCUCCAUCAGUUUUGACAAACGUUUAAAAAUAAUGAGGACCUGAAGACCCUACCCUUCUCCUGAUUUAGUAGCUCUGUUCCAGGAACCAGGGGGCCAUAAAACCUUCUGGCGUCCCCUUAUCUCCUGGAGCCAUAAAACAAUCCUGUAACUUGUGGUGCAUUCCCCUUUGACAUCCCCCAUCCCCUGGUGCUCACAGCCUCUGCCUUUAAAUACUCUUUUUCCCAGCCUCUCGGGGUCGACACCUCUGUCUCCUGCGUGGGAUAUGUGUCGGCCCGGAGAUCUCUGUAAUAGGUCUCCGUAAUAAACCUCGCCUUUGCUUAUUACAUCCAAAA